Non-coding RNA from Caranx melampygus (bluefin trevally), 74 nucleotides. The record is from the annotation of a GenBank genome assembly. NCBI's taxonomy places the organism in Eukaryota, Metazoa, Chordata, Actinopteri, Carangiformes, Carangidae.
GAUGCUGUGGCUUAAUUGGUUAAAGUACCCGUCUGAUAAACAGGAGAUGCUGGGUUUGAACCCCAGCAGUGCCU